UCUCCAUGGCAACGCGGGCCUGCCCACAUGGCGCUGAGCGGCCGGGACCGGUCCGGGACGGUGCCCGAGGCGCCCCGAGCUCCCGGUGCUUCAGGGAGCCGGGUGUCUGCAAGACAGGCAAAGAAGAAGAAAUGCAUAUUCUGGGGCAUUGAGGUGGCUGAAACACUCAUUUGGCAUGGCUGGGAACUUGGACAAGAGGUGAUCAGACACCUUACCUUGAAAAAUGUUCAUGAGAAAACCCAGAAGCUGAGCUACAGGUGUCCUCCCACGCCAUUCUUCUUCACUGUUUUUCCGCAGCCGAUUACUCUCAGCCCUGGAAUGUCCAUAACUCUGCCCAUUGUUUUCCGGCCCAGUGAAAAGAGAGAGUAUGAAGACAGCAUCUGCUUUGUGAAAGCUGAGGGUGAGUUCUCUGUUACCCUGCGUGCUGUGCUUCCACGCCUCCGUGUGUCCUUCCCGGCUGCUCUUCAGUUGCCUGUCUGUGCUGUCCACAGUGUCACGGAGACAACAUUCCCUGUGCGCAAUGUUGGUGAUCUCUUUACCACAUUUGCCUGGAAGACACCAAGUCCUUUCUGCAUGAUUCCUGACCAUGGCACGCUGAAACCGGGUGCUGAGUGCAUGAUCAAGGUGGUCUUCCAACCCAAAGUGGCUGGGGUUCAUGAUGGGGCAGCCACAUGCUGGUUUGGAGAUCAAGAGAAACAAAAGAGGAUAAUCCAGCUAAAAGCCAUAGCCAAGUACCCCUAUCUCCGUGUGCACGUGACAGGGAAGGAGUAUGAAGGUGUACAGCCUGGAAAGUUUCAGGAUGUCCUGUGCUUUGGAUCAGUGCCAGUGGGGACAACUGUGGAAAAGUGUGUAGAAAUCUUCAACCUGUCUGUGGUUGACGCACCAUGUAGGAUAAAGCGAGCAAAAGAUCCUCUGCUUUGUGAUUAUGUUUUCUCCUGUAAUGUGUCCCAUGGCGUUGUUCCUGCCAAAGGGAAGCUGGUCUUGUGCAUACAGUUUCAGCCUCAAGUAGUAGGAGAGCACAGUACUAACUAUUUCACUAUCACAUCUGCUGGAUGCCUCCUGGAGACUGUUCUGAAGGUGGUUGGCUCAUGUAAAGGUCCUUUGGUGUCCCUGGACCAAUAUUCUGUGGACUUUGAAUGGAUCAAUCUUGGAGAAAGUUUGAUGCAGACACUGAAAAUCAGCAACAUGUCAGAUGUCCCAGCCUAUUACCAGUUUGAUAUUGAUUGCAAAGGAAGCGUCUUCUCCUUGGAUCGCCCUUGUGGAGUCUUGGAGGGCACAACAACACUAACGCUGAAGGUGACCUUUCGACCUACUCACCCGAUGACCUAUCACCGCAGAGUCGCGUGCCUUGUCCACCAUCAGGAGCCCAUGUAUGUGGACUUUUUUGGUACCUGCCAUUCAGGCACAGCUAAGCCAACCACCCUUCAGGCAAGCCACCUCUCCUCAUACCGAACCAACAUGGUGAGGGGACUGACCUUCUAUCCCCCUGAUAUCCUGAGUGUGAUGCUAAAGGAUGGGAAGUUGCAGAUGGAUGGAAAGGGAGCCCUCAUGCUGCCCCCUGAGAUCUCUCAAGACAAGCCUCCCGAGGAAUACUUUGAACCCAACUCCAUGACUGAAUAUUUCUGUGAUGGUGUAAGAAGUGAUCUCGCCUCGUUUCCCACUCAUGUUAGUGUCAGCCCCAGGGAGUAUGAUUUUGGUUGCUGUGUACCACCUCACAGGGCAGAACCUCUUCCUCUCUAUGUGACCAACCACACCAAAGGAAACAUCAUUGUUUCCUGGACUCCAAGCCAUGGCAGUGCCUUCCUAGUGCACCCUGAAGUCUGUGACAUCCCACCUCUGAAGACUUCAGCCUUCCGUGUCCUUUUCAAGCCCACUCAGGUCAACAGUCUCUAUGCAGCAGAGCUAGAAGGUUUUGCCUUCUACAAGGUGAUGAGACACUACACCAAUGUUGAGAAUGAUGCCACCAUCUGUCCGUCAUGGUGCCUGACUGUGAAGCUGAGAGCACACACGUAUGAAGCAGGACGGGAACACUUCAUUCCACGGUAUAUCUUGGAUGUCCCCAAGACUUUUCCUCCUGUGGUUCCUGACACUGAUACCUACUGCAGCAUGCUGCUGUUGAACACGAGCACCUCUUUGAUGACUUUCAGUGUGAACCAAACUGCCUGCCCCUCUGUUUUGGUCAAGCCCAGCUCAGGACACAUCAUUCCAGGAGGCCACCAGAUUUUCUUUCUCUCCACUCACCCAGUCAACACAGUCUCACAGCAGCAUAUCCUGCCUUUAGAGCUGAACUCUUAUCCUGAAUACACCAAGGAGAUUUCUCUCCAGAGUUGUGGGGAGUCCCUUCUUUUGCAGUUAGAAGGUGAUGGAAAUCUAUACUUCAAGCCUCUCUACGUAGGGACCUCCUCUACACGAAUGUACACCAUAAAAAACUGCACAAGGCUACCCAUGAUUUUCACAUGGAAGAUACCUCAGUCUGACAGUAAGAUCCUGUCUGUCAGCCCCACUGCAGGGAUCCUCCAGCCCUAUGAAGCCAUGGCUCAGGCAUGGACUUUUACUCCGGAUGAGGAGACCAAGUAUCUGCUACAAGCUAUGGUGUUCGUGAGGUGGAAAAUCUCAGAUCCUGUGUCUCCCGAAAGUGUCUGUUAUGCCUUACGGGUUGUUGGAAAGGGGGCACGGGGCACCAUCAGGGCGCAGAAGAGGUGCCUGGACCUUGGAAAUGUUCUGGUUGGUGACCUGCAAAGCUGCAGCAUUGUACUGCUAAAUGAUGGGAUCUGUUCUCUGAAUUACAUCCUCAGUGUGGAACAACUCAUCACUGGGCCCUGUGACCCUGAGGAGGUCCGCAGCGAUCCACUAGCUCUAGAGUUGGACCGCUCCAGAGGGACAAUCCCUGCAAGAUCAAAAGCUUUUGUUGGAAUAACAGUAAGGCCAGCCCGUCGGCUGCAUUACACCUGGUCAAUCAAAUAUGCUCUUUGCACCCCCACAGCUACAGAUCAUGCAAGCACAAAAGAAGAGCAGCAGCCCCUCUGCUGCAUUGUAGCAACAGGCAUCUACCCAACUUUGUGCAUCACAGAUGCCUGUUCAGCAGGAAGUGCCAACAAUAUCAGCAAGUUGCACCUCUGGAAGCUCUUCUCCUUGGACACACUGAAUGAAUACUUGGAGCGAGACCCGACUCCCGGCGAGCUCACCUACAGAGUUCCCACAAGGCACAGCACAUGCUUGAUCCCUCCAGUGUAUACUCCUCUUCUGCUGGAUUUCAACUUUGGGUCUGCCCCUGUAGGCUCAGAGCCUGCCCUUGUGAUGCUUCUGCUGGAGAACAAGGGUGUGGUGCCUGUGGACUGGGCCUUCUUGUUUCCUUCUGAUCAGAAGAUGGACAUGGAGCUUUGGGCAGAGGAUAUUGAGUUUAGCCCUCGGGAGCUCCACCAGAUGAGAAUUCAGGAUAACCAGCUCUUCAGUGUUUCCCCAAAGUCAGGAACACUUCUUCCAGGACAGGAGAAAUCUGUCCAGCUCUCACACAGACAUGAUUUCAUUGGCACUGAUCGCCUCCCCGUCCUGCUGAAGGUUUCCUAUGGCCAUGAGAUUCUGCUGACCUUCAUUGGCGUGACAGUGGAACAUGACCAGCGGUAUGCUCAUUUUGCAUCCACUAAGCACCUUUUCACACCCAUUGCUGUUGGAAGCUCCCGCCCCCCCACACAGAUUUAUAAACUCUACAACGGUGGCUCCAUGCCUGUGAUGUUUGAGGUUCAGCUGGACAACCUCAUGAGGAUACAGGAGGAGAAUUUUCAGCAUCCUGUGUUUGUCUGCCUAACUCCUAGAGGAGAAAUCCCCCCUGGCAAAACAGGCCACAGUGAGUGGAUCUUCUCACCACUGGAAGCUAAAACAUACUUGGUUGAUGUUCCCAUCCACAUCCUGGGGGGUGAAUCAACCCUGAUCACUUUCCAGGGAGUAGGCUACAAUCCGAAUGCUGUAGGAGAGGCUACCACACCCAGCAAAGCUUUGUCUCCUUCAGUCUUUCCAGGUUCUAACAAGCUAAUUGUGCCUGGACAGGUAGCCACCUUGUCACACCACAGGAUUUGCUUUGGAAAUAUCCCAGACUGCACCAAAGCCAGUCGACUUGUCUUUCUCAACAAUAUCUCGGAGAGCAAGGCUGUUGUGUUUGCCUGGCAGAUAAACCCCUGCAAAGACAAGAGGGUGUUGCAGAUUGCUCCAGAGUCAGGGGUUGUGCAGCCUGGAGAGAGCAUCCCCUGCUUCAUCACACUGGGACCCACAGGGAAUCCCUCCUCCUGCAGCACAGAUCUGGUGUGUGAGGUAUACAUACAGGAGUCCCUGGUUCAGUAUGAGAGGGACCUGCAGGAGUGGCAAAAGGAGAAGGAACGGCAGGCUGUGGAAUUCACCAUCACAGAGAAGGACCUUGGGACUAAGAGUAAGCCAAUGUCACCUGCAAUGAGGUUAUCAGAUUCUGCUGAGACAGAAAAUCUUCCUGAAUCCUCAGCUGUAAUCAGGAAAUACAAGACAUUACCCCCUAUUAAAAGCCACCCUAAGCCCAGUCAGCCAUCUGGACCCCUUGAGAGGAGGCUGCUGUUGGGCAAAGACACCAGCCGGUUGCGGGUCAAACCAGAGCAUCCCAAGCCCAUGCUCUUACACCUUGAUGUGUCAGCCAGGUCCCAUGCUAUUGAGGACUUUCUCAGGAACUUCGCUUUGGAGUUUCCCAAAUACUUCUUGUCCCGCCCCUUCAGCGCCCAGCCCUCAGAAAGUGAGUUUGUGGAUUGGAGUAGGUACAGAAACAGGAUGGACAUGGAGCCCAAAAGUAUGUCCCUGGUGGCUGCUUCGAAACAGGAGUUGCAAAUGGUGACUGACAUACUCACAGGUGUCAUCAGAGGCCUCUUGGAGAAUGCCCAGUUCCACGAUGCAGUGAGAAGAAGCCAGGAUCAGCCUAUUCCAUAUUUCUCCCAGUUCCGGUCUGCAAAAUCAGCAGAGGUCUGGAACAGGAGACAGCGCUCCACAAUCCCCUCCAGGGUCUCUGCUUCAUCAGAUGUCUACCUUGAGAAAGAUGGAGAGAAGAAAGAAAUGAGUCAGGAAACCUCUCCCCGUGAUUUGCUGCAGUCUUGGGAGAUUUUUCACCACAAGCAGUUGAGUGAGAGGAAGGAGAUGAUAAGUAGGCAGCCGGCUGUUGGGAACCUCGUGGAGCUGGUGCUGGAAAACACACUGCAGAAUAUCCUGAUUGAAGCCAGUCGUGGGGAGGUGGUGCUGACAGCCUGGCCCAGGGUCAUUGCUCUACCCCCCAGCCCUUCCCGAAGAGUCACCAAUCCGGCACCCCCAACCACCAGAGCAUAGUUACUGGGCACUGGGCUGCUUGAGCUCUUCAAGCACAUCAGCUCUCUCCAUUCUUCAUCCUGUCCCUGUGAUGUCCAGAGCAACUCCGACCCUCCCAAACCAUGACCUGAGCUCAGCAUGCUGGCUGCCUCUGAGGAGUCUGUACUAGCUGGGAAAGGAGUGGAAUCUGCUUUGAAAUGUAGCUGAGGAAGGACUGACAGCUGGGCAAUGAGAUGAUAAGCCCCUACCGACAUCAGUAGGACGCAGGUACUGAAUCUUCCUCCCCUCCUUCCUCCAGUGAUGGCUGCAGGUUCCCCUUACAGCGACCAGCCCAAGGAGGCAGCUGCAGCACCAUCAGCACACUGAGCAGCCAAAUAAAAGCAACUUGGCCUCCGGACACAGACA
Molecule: RNA transcript, 5715 nt
Organism: Chiroxiphia lanceolata (lance-tailed manakin)
Lineage: Eukaryota; Metazoa; Chordata; Aves; Passeriformes; Pipridae
Gene: CFAP65
Gene name: cilia and flagella associated protein 65
Exons: 33
Source: RefSeq, a predicted model, not a curated record